Long non-coding RNA from Armigeres subalbatus, 489 nucleotides. RefSeq lists it as uncharacterized. The transcript is spliced from 2 exons. The record is from RefSeq and is a predicted model, not a curated record. Lineage: Eukaryota; Metazoa; Arthropoda; Insecta; Diptera; Culicidae.
CGACACAUUUGUGAGUGCGUGAUUAUCCAAAGUGCUUUAGUAGUACGAAAGUGAAAUUGGCUUUAGUGAACGACCUCUUCUGUUCCCAAAAACUCGUUCAGGACCUUUGUUUUUCCGUUUGUUAAACCAACAGAUCGGUAACCGCACAGUGCACGAUCGGUCAAUUCAACAAUCUAAGUUGAGUUGGCCUAACAGUAAAGGAGCGAAACUCCAGACACCACUUCCGCCGGAGCAACCCUUCUCGGCGUGACCAAUACGGUCUCGUCCGUGGUCCGUCGAUAGCGUCAAAGAAGGGAACGCCGUUGACCCCCAGCUACGAAGCUAGCGUCUCUGGCGCGCCGCCAUCGCGCCAGGCCCAGAAAACGUUCGAUUCCGCCAUUGGAUCGUGCUGAUCAAGCCAGUAACCCGCCAUCCCAACGGACCCAGUCGUCAAACCUCCUCUCCGCAACAAAUACGAGCGCUCGUCAACGUCGUCGAACAUCACCAACG